GCGAGAGUGGUGGAAUUGGUAGACACACUGGUCUUAGAAGCCAGCGGAGAAAUCCAUGAGAGUUCGAGUCUCUCCUUUCGCACCA
RNAcentral lists this transfer RNA (85 nucleotides) under Methylophilaceae bacterium. RNAcentral's name for it is "tRNA-Leu". It matches the Rfam family "tRNA". From Rfam's summary of the family: Transfer RNA (tRNA) molecules are approximately 80 nucleotides in length. Their secondary structure includes four short double-helical elements and three loops (D, anti-codon, and T loops). Lineage: Bacteria; Pseudomonadati; Pseudomonadota; Betaproteobacteria; Nitrosomonadales; Methylophilaceae. The record is from RNAcentral. RNAcentral also lists the same sequence under 1 other name.